CUCACUCACCAAGGGCCGCGCCGGGGUUCUGCACUGUCACUGCGCUGCGGUUCCCCGCCUUAGGGAUUCUCACACGGUUCCACGGCUCCGGGCCCGGCGGCACCGCAGCCAUCUUGCGAGGCGGGGGGACUUAAGAAAGGCGGAACUACGCGAGAGCACGUCGAGCGACCGGAGUCUGGAACAGUUCCUCGUUCUUUCUCUGGCUCUGGAUCUGCGUCCCUGACAGUCUUAAAGAGGACAGACCUUUCAUUCAUGAGGAUGACCCUCAACUUGGCCCAGUCCAUGUUUCCUCAGACUCAAGCCUUGCAUUCCUGGCAGAAAGACUGAAGAAAUGAUGCUGUGCUCUUCUCAGUGCUUCACGUCAGGAGGCUCUACUCUCUCAACCGGCCCCACUAUUGUCUCUGUGUGGCUUGGCCAUGAGGAUCGGAGAGGAUAUAAAGAGGGCAGGAGAGGGGACGACUCCCAUUUUGCCACCCUG
RNAcentral lists this non-coding RNA (478 nucleotides) under Pan troglodytes (chimpanzee). The record is from RNAcentral. Lineage: Eukaryota; Metazoa; Chordata; Mammalia; Primates; Hominidae.